UACAGAGGGUGCAAGCGUUAAUCGGAAUUACUGGGCGUAAAGCGUGCGCAGGCGGUCUUGUAAGACAGAGGUGAAAUCCCCGGGCUCAACCUGGGAACGGCCUUUGUGACUGCAAGGCUGGAGUGCGGCAGAGGGGGAUGGAAUUCCGCAUGUAGCAGUGAAAUGCGUAGAUAUGCGGAGGAACACCGAUGGCGAAGGCAAUCCCCUGGGCCUGCACUGACGCUCAUGCACGAAAGCGUGGGGAGCAAACAGG
RNAcentral lists this ribosomal RNA (253 nucleotides) under uncultured bacterium. RNAcentral's name for it is "partial 16S ribosomal RNA". It matches the Rfam family "Bacterial small subunit ribosomal RNA", at positions 524 to 776 of the family's 1533-position model. The record is from RNAcentral.